This 767-nucleotide ribosomal RNA is filed under the name Fusarium oxysporum. Its description in RNAcentral is "SSU rRNA". It matches the Rfam family "Eukaryotic small subunit ribosomal RNA", at positions 64 to 842 of the family's 1831-position model. The record is from RNAcentral. Lineage: Eukaryota; Fungi; Ascomycota; Sordariomycetes; Hypocreales; Nectriaceae.
UAUAAGCAAUUAUACCGCGAAACUGCGAAUGGCUCAUUAUAUAAGUUAUCGUUUAUUUGAUAGUACCUUACUACUUGGAUAACCGUGGUAAUUCUAGAGCUAAUACAUGCUAAAAAUCCCGACUUCGGAAGGGAUGUAUUUAUUAGAUUAAAAACCAAUGCCCUUCGGGGCUCACUGGUGAUUCAUGAUAACUCCUCGAAUCGCAUGGCCUUGUGCCGGCGAUGGUUCAUUCAAAUUUCUUCCCUAUCAACUUUCGAUGUUUGGGUAUUGGCCAAACAUGGUUGCAACGGGUAACGGAGGGUUAGGGCUCGACCCCGGAGAAGGAGCCUGAGAAACGGCUACUACAUCCAAGGAAGGCAGCAGGCGCGCAAAUUACCCAAUCCCGACACGGGGAGGUAGUGACAAUAAAUACUGAUACAGGGCUCUUUUGGGUCUUGUAAUUGGAAUGAGUACAAUUUAAAUCCCUUAACGAGGAACAAUUGGAGGGCAAGUCUGGUGCCAGCAGCCGCGGUAAUUCCAGCUCCAAUAGCGUAUAUUAAAGUUGUUGUGGUUAAAAAGCUCGUAGUUGAACCUUGGGCCUGGCUGGCCGGUCCGCCUCACCGCGUGUACUGGUCCGGCCGGGCCUUUCCCUCUGUGGAACCCCAUGCCCUUCACUGGGUGUGGCGGGGAAACAGGACUUUUACUGUGAAAAAAUUAGAGUGCUCCAGGCAGGCCUAUGCUCGAAUACAUUAGCAUGGAAUAAUAGAAUAGGACGUGUGGUUCUAUUU